Molecule: ribosomal RNA, 406 nt
Filed under: uncultured bacterium
Lineage: Bacteria
Description: partial 16S ribosomal RNA
Rfam family: Bacterial small subunit ribosomal RNA
Source: RNAcentral
AUUGAACGCUGGCGGCAGGCCUAACACAUGCAAGUCGAACGAGUGGCGGACGUGUGAGUAAUGUCUGGGACUCUGCCCGAGGGAGGGGGACAACUACUGGACACUGUAUCUAACACCGCCUACCAUCGGAUCGGCCCAGAUGGGAUUAGCUAGUAGGUGGGGAAAAGGCUCACCUAGUCGACGAUCCCUAGCGGGUCUGAGAGGAUGACCAGCCACACUGGAACUGAGACACGGUCCAGACUCCUACGGGAGGCAGCAGUGGGGAAUAUUGCACAAUGGGCGCAAGCCUGAUGCAGCCAUGCCGCGUGUAUGAAGAAGGCCUUCGGGUUGUAAAGUACUUUCAGCGGGGAGGCGUUACCAGCAGAAGAAGCACCGGCUAACUCCGUGCCAGCAGCCGCGGUAAUUC